This 1457-nucleotide long non-coding RNA is filed under the name Rattus norvegicus (Norway rat). RNAcentral's name for it is "long non-coding RNA NONRATT015195". Lineage: Eukaryota; Metazoa; Chordata; Mammalia; Rodentia; Muridae. The record is from RNAcentral.
GAAGAAGCAAGAUACAGUACGAGACGUGCCAGGAAGAGGUGUCUAAAGCACAAGAACAUUGAAGUUGCCGCCAGUUGACUUUAGUGUGACCCUUUAGCUUUUGCACGUGCAAAGCACAAUUAGGAAUUAGGCUGAAUUCUUCCCAGGUAUCUGCUCUGUGCUGCUUUAGAUUUCUGCUGUUAGGAUGUGUUCCUGGCAGUGCCUCUUGACGGGGUACGUAGGAAUUGCAGAAAGUUAUUUCUCUCUGCUCUUCUCUGGUCAUUGGCUGGCUAGUAAGUAGCCACACUGGUGUUUUGAUUUCAUAUUCUCCAGGAGUAGCAUGCCCUUUUUCUUCCUAACUUAUCAAACUCCACAUGCACCUCUAUUUUUCAUUGUAGUAUACAUAUAAAUUAGAGCAAUGUACCUCUAGCUCCAUGCCUUGAAUGGCAAAAGCUACUUAGGCCUAAGUAUUUAAUUUUAAAUACUAUAUAAGUGUACAUACUCCAACAUGUAACUAUAGAUUUUAAAGAUACAGGACUGUUUAUUUUCACAUAAGUCAGUAGAUGUUUCUCUUAAAGCAUAAUAUUUCAUUUAGUAAAGCUUUAUAAAUUAUAUUAAAGGGAAGCAGGAAACAUGUAUUUUUUAACAGAAAUUGCUUCUUUUGACAUCAGAAAAAUGCUAAGAGUUGAUUCCAAGUAUUUGUUGUACUCGUAGCAGAUCUCCAGUUUCCCAGGCACCAUGUUGAGAACGGAGUUCAUUCAGACGUCACCACAUGUCUGUGUCUGUACACAUGUGUUUCUUUCUUUGCCAUGUAGACAGUAUUAACAGGUUGAGCAUUUUUGUUCUAGAAUAACAGCUUAAUUUCCACCAUGAAGACUUUGCCACACUGGUACAAUUGUGUGCCCUCUGACAUAGGUCAGACCUUUUUGGCUUUGACUUGGUCUUUGCAUCCUUCAUGCCUCCUGGGGGCUGCCAGUCUCUUGAAGUGGUAACCAAGCUCUUGACUCUGUUCCCCUUCAUAGUACAGAUGUCUAUACCAGUGCUUGAUAUCAGUGACCAAAACUCUCGCAGCCAGACGUGAUAUCUUUAAGAACACGCUGCAUGCGAUGUUUAGAAAAUCUGGGGAUACAUGCUUUUCACUAGUGCACAGUGUGUGUGUAUAAAUACACAUAGCUUUGUUCAUUUCUCAAAGUCCUUCCAACUAUUAAAUGUACUGUAGUCUGGUAGUGCCUCAAAUGUUGGUUUGAUUUUUGUGUUUUUUUAAUUUAUAAGUUUUCCAGAAUUUGUUCUUGACUUUUAAGGCUACUCGACUAGAUUGUUUCUAGUUGAGCUGAAAUUCAAAUGCAUUGUUCUCAGGGCUGUUUGUGCUAGGAGCUGAAGUGUCAUUAUUUAAAGAUAGCUGCCUACAAAUAUAUUGCAAGUUUUUCCCACGUCAUGAUACUGUAAUACAUACAAAUAAAAAUUCUUAGUAAAACAUU